This is a long non-coding RNA of Acinonyx jubatus (cheetah), 1457 nucleotides long. RefSeq lists it as uncharacterized. Lineage: Eukaryota; Metazoa; Chordata; Mammalia; Carnivora; Felidae. The record is from RefSeq and is a predicted model, not a curated record. The transcript is spliced from 3 exons.
UCCCCGGGUCGCGCCCUAUGGAGGUCCGCGCGCACUUUGGAACCCACUCCGCUGCAGGUUGCGGGGCGACAGAAGCCGGGAGCUCCCGCUCUACUCCGAGCUUGGUGCUACCUGUACGAUGUCCCCAAACGGCCCAGGACGAGCUGUUCAUUCGGGCUACCCGGUACCACAUGCUCACGAAACGGACCCAACUCACAAGAGUCUCAAAACGCGGAGGCAUAACCCGCUACUGCGAGUCAUUUUUGCACUCUGAGCAGAGCAGGCCCGAAGAAAAAGGAAGCUAGUAGCCCUCACUGCUACUGGCAUGCCUUUGAAAUGCUGUGCAUUUCAAGGGAGCUGCCUAAGGAGGAACAGAUAGUGUGGACAGCACAGAGGAGAGAUGGACAGAAACCGGGUCAUGAUGACAUUGUUAAGCUGCUAGAUCAACGAACCUUGGAGCCUGUCCAAUAACUGGACUCUUCAUUCAUAGUACGAAUGAGCAGAGAGAGAGAGCAGAGAGAAAGGAAGGCAGAGAAUCCAAAGCAGACUCCACACCGUCAACACAGAGGCCCAAUGUGGGGCUCGAAUUCACAAACUGUGGGAUCAUGACCUAAGCCGAAAUCAAGAGUUGGACGCUCAACCGACUGAACCACCCAGGUGCCCCAAGGUAAGUGUACUUUUAAUUCUCUUUCACCUAUUCCCCAUCCAUGCUGCACAUAAAUGCAAUCCCUAUCAAAAUACUAACAUUUUUCACAGAAUUAGAAUAAUCCUAAAAUUUAUGGAAUCACAAAAGAUCCCGAAGAGCCAAAGCAAUCUUGAAAAAGAACAAAGCUGGAGGAAUCACAAUCCUAGAUUUUACGAUAUACUACAAAGCUGUGGUAAUAAAAACAUGAUACUGGCAUCAAAACAGACACAUAGAUCAAUGGAACAAAAUAGAGUCCAGAAAUAAGCCACACUUUUAUGGUAAAUUAAUUUAUGACAAAGACGGCAAGAAUAUAGAAUGGGGAAGACAAUCUUCAGCAAAUGAUACUAGGGAACUGGACCUCUUUCUUACACCACAUACAAAAAUAAAUUCAAAAUAAAGACCUAAAUGUGAGACCCGAAUCCAUAAAAUUCCUACAAGAAAACAUAGGCAAGUAUCCAUCCCUCCGAUUCUUUGACAUCAGUCAUAGAUAACAUUUUUCUAGAUAUGUCUCCUCUGGCAAAAGAAACAAGAGCACAAUUAAACUAUUGAGACUAUACCAAAAUGAAAAGCUUUUGCCCAGUGAAGGAAACCAUCGACGAAACAAAAAAGGCAACCUACUGAAUGGGAGAAGCUAGUUGCAAGUGAUACAUCCAAUAAGGGGUUAAUAUCCAAACUGUAUAAAGAACUUACACAACGGGCUCUGUGCUGACAGCUCAGAGCCUGGAACCUGUUUCAGAUUCUGUGUCUCCCUCUCUCUCUGACCCUCCCCCAUUCAUGCUCUGUUUCUCUGUCU